UGGUCCUUGAUGUGUAGGAUAGGUGGGAGGCUUUGAAGUGUGGACGCCAGUCUGCAUGGAGCCAUCCUUGAAAUACCACCCUUUAAUGGCUGGUGUUCUAACGUGGGCCCCUAAUCGGGGUUGCGGACAGUGUCUGGUGGGUAGUUUGACUGGGGCGGUCUCCUCCCAAAGAGUAACGGAGGAGCACGAAGGUUAGCUAAUCCUGGUCGGACAUCAGGAGGUUAGUGCAAAGGCAUAAGCUAGCUUGACUGCGAGAGUGACGGCUCGAGCAGGUGCGAAAGCAGGUC
This 287-nucleotide ribosomal RNA is filed under the name Escherichia coli. RNAcentral describes it as "partial 23S ribosomal RNA". It matches the Rfam family "Bacterial large subunit ribosomal RNA", at positions 2125 to 2411 of the family's 2925-position model. RNAcentral also lists the same sequence under 1 other name. Lineage: Bacteria; Pseudomonadati; Pseudomonadota; Gammaproteobacteria; Enterobacterales; Enterobacteriaceae. The record is from RNAcentral.